CACGGACUCUGCGUGAAAGUGCCCUGUUGAUUGGGGAACGGAGCUUCGCAAGUGCUUUUGAGCAUGCGCAUGAGACACCCCUCGCCCCUCCACUAAACACCCGGGUGUUAAGAGGUCGGCACUUGGAAGGGAAGCGGUUCUCAGCUGUUUACGAGUUAGCGUCGCGCAGAGGUUUCUUGAAGUCUCUGCGGAGCCCCUGGGUAAGACCCUAUAGUGAAGGCUGCAGAAUCUUCCUUCCGGCCUCAGCAGCUCUGGUUGAGUCCAUGGGUGCCCACCUGGCCUCGGGCUCCCGGGAAGAGCAGAGUUGUCAGCAAGAGAGCCUGGGGGCUGAGGCCCAGCAGGAAGAUGCCAGCCAACUGGAGCUCUCCCCAGUGGUCCCCAGCCCUGGCUGCAGAGGGACAUGGCAGCAUGUGUGAGAUUUUCAGAGAUUCCUGGUCAAGAUGUCGGUGCAGGGGAAGAUCCUGAACUGACCUCAUCCCACGGACACACCAAGCCUACAGCUAUGUAUGGAACAAUGUCCUCAGGAAAAAAAAACAACUAAAAACUGGUGGAGCGACCCCUUCUCAUCAGGCAAUGAGAGGGAAACCACCUGGAAGCAGGUAGUAAAGGCUGAGACGCCAUCUCGCCAUAAACUGCACCCUCAGCAAGGCCACCCAUAACUGCGAGGGAACUCUAAACCUGGAGCUUCUCCCUGAGGAGUGAAGGGUUUGUACCUCACAUGGGACACGCCAACUUUUAAGACUGGUACUAGAGAGACAAGCCCUCAAUACACCUGGCUUUGAAGACCAGCAGGGCUCACUCCAGGGGCUCACUCGCUCUCAAAAGGUUUUUGAUAGAUAUUCAUAUAAAUUGAUAGAGGGGACUCUGUUCAUAAUUAUGCUGUGACAACUUGGACAUAUAGUCAGCCUAAUAAUAGAGAAACAAUGUCAUUUAUAGCAACCCCAUCUUUUUUUUUACUUUUUAAAAAAAAUUUAAAGUU
Molecule: long non-coding RNA, 979 nt
Organism: Balaenoptera musculus (blue whale)
Lineage: Eukaryota; Metazoa; Chordata; Mammalia; Artiodactyla; Balaenopteridae
Exons: 3
Source: RefSeq, a predicted model, not a curated record